This 454-nucleotide ribosomal RNA is filed under the name uncultured Corynebacterium sp. RNAcentral describes it as "bacterial SSU rRNA". It matches the Rfam family "Bacterial small subunit ribosomal RNA", at positions 50 to 507 of the family's 1533-position model. The record is from RNAcentral. Lineage: Bacteria; Bacillati; Actinomycetota; Actinomycetes; Mycobacteriales; Corynebacteriaceae.
ACGACUAGCAAGUCGAACCGGAAAGGGCCCUGCGUUGUCAGGGUACGUCGGAGUGGCGAACGGGUGGAGUAACGACGUGGGUGAGUCUGCCCUGCACUUCGGGAUAAGCCUGGGAAACUGGGUCUAAUACCGGAUAGGAGCCAUUUUUAGUGUGAUGGUUGGAAAGUUUUUUCGGUGUAGGAUGAGCUCGCGGCCUAUCAGCUUGUUGGUGGGGGUAAUGGCCGUACCAAGGCGGCGACGGGUAGCCGGCCGUGAGAGGGUGGACGGCCACAUUGGGACUGAGAUACGGCCCAGACUCCUACGGGAGGCAGCAGUGGGGAAUAUUGCACAAUGGGCGCAAGCCUGAUGCAGCGACGCCGCGUGGGGAUGACGGCCUUCGGGUUGUAAACUCCUUUCGCUAGGGACGAAGCUUUUUGUGACGGUACCUAGAUAAGAAGCACCGGCUAACUACGUG